Molecule: ribosomal RNA, 429 nt
Filed under: uncultured archaeon
Lineage: Archaea
Description: bacterial SSU rRNA
Rfam family: Archaeal small subunit ribosomal RNA
Source: RNAcentral
UACCAGCUCUCCGAGUGGUAGGGAUGAUUAUUGGGCUUAAAGCGUCCGUAGCCGGCUUAGCAAGUUUCCUGUUAAAUUCAGCGACCUAAUCGUUGAGCCGCGGGAAAUACUACUAGGCUAGGAGGCGGGAGAGGUCGACGGUACUUCUGGGGUAGGGGUGAAAUCCUAUAAUCCCGGGAGGACCACCAGUGGCGAAGGCUGUCGACUAGAACGCGCUCGACGGUGAGGGACGAAAGCGGGGGGAGCGAACCGGAUUAGAUACCGGGGUAGUCCCAGCUGUAAACGAUGCGGGCUAGGUGUUGGGGUGGCUACGUGCCACUUCAGUGCCGCAGGGAAGCCAUUAAGCCCGCCGCCUGGGGAGUACGGCCGCAAGGCUGAAACUUAAAGGAAUUGGCGGGGGAGCACCACAAGGCGUGAAGCUUGCGGUUC